GGGCAGGGCAGGGCCAGGCCGCGCUCGCUCGCUCGCGCUCACACUCGCACUCACGCUGUACCGUGUUUACUGGAGGUAAACAUGAACGCACAAAAUGUAGCGUAAAAAUACUGCGCACCAUUGCGAUUAUCUUCAAACGGCAGCGUUUUCGAUUUUUGCAGUUUAGUCAUGGAUCCCCCCCUCCUUCCUGUGUUGCCACCCACUGAUGUCUUCGAGCACACACUCAUAGGGAGGGAAAACAGUGACACACUGUACCAAACCAACAAAUUCAUAAUUCAUACACUAGGAGCGCGACACACUCGCACUGUGACUGUACCAAACCACCGUCAUGCACGGUACGAAUGCGACACGUUUCCAUUUGGUACCAGUGUAAAACACUCCUAAUAGUGUAGUGUAUGAGGACGGCCCGUGAUUUCUAUUCUGAUCGAAAAACUUACUUCGCAUUUACAUUUAUUCACUUUGCAGACGCUUUUUUUUUUUGUCCAAAGCGACCUACGUCUCAGCACAUACAGUAGGUACAACUUAUGCAUUAUUUGAUCCGUGUGAGAAUUCGUACAAUUGCUGAGCACCUCUUGGGCAGUUUAAUCGCAUUUCCCAAUUUUCAACCUUGUGUUACGUACGCGUAAUAAAACAGAAGUUAAGGUGAUAUUUAUACUAAGGCACGAGUCGAGGAGUCGGUUUGAAUUAUUGCAGAAAAUAAUAAUAAUAACGCAUUCAUCAUCAUGACUGAGACGGAAUUAGGAACGUAGCCGGCGCGCGUGGCACGCUCCGCGCGCCAGCCCCGCCAACGCGCGCCUUUGACUGUUACGGCCUUGGAUGGGAGUCCAGACAGUCUAACAGGAAGCUCAUUCUGCUUCUCCUCUCCACUUUUUUUUUUGGGAUUUGUCUGGAUGUGAGCCAAGCCCAGUUCCGACGCGAAGCCACGCAGAUGUCCACGGCACCGAGCGAGGGCCGCUUCCAGGAUUUUUUAAGGUUGUCGCAACAGGGCCCUUCUGAAGAAUUGAACCCAGCAUGCAUAUUACGCUAUUGGGCUGGAGCCGAGGAGAUGAAGAGGUGCUAUUAUCAAUGGACACUUCGGAUCAGGAAUAACAUCCAGAAAGCACUGAAACCAAAAAGGGAAAAUUGGAUCAUUAAUUAUGGACCUGCAGUUAUUCCUAAAACAGACAAUAAAAGCUGUUUGGAGGCUUCCGACGUUUUUACUGGUAAAUUUAUUAAUCUUGCCGACUCCAUUCCCAAGGUAACUUACAUUAUGUUUGU
Molecule: long non-coding RNA, 1257 nt
Filed under: Scleropages formosus (Asian bonytongue)
Lineage: Eukaryota; Metazoa; Chordata; Actinopteri; Osteoglossiformes; Osteoglossidae
Description: lncRNA (ENSSFOG00015024502.1)
Source: RNAcentral